GCUGGCUAUCGCCUCCCUUGGAUGACAUAUCCAGCAGCAGCACAAUCGAGAGAUGCCCCACUGAUGCAUAAACAAACUGGGACAGCCUGCCAAACGGACAUCUGUGGGAUAUAAUAAGAUAUGAUUAACGUGCAUGCUUGACAUCGAAAAUGAAGCGUAAAGGCGAGAGGAGGCGACCAGAGUCUAGAAAAAAGCGCUGUUCAGCUCACAGCUCAGAGGCGGAGCAUAACAAGUCUGAUAUUUACAUUGGGAUAACAGACCAACUCUAUUUCGCCGUACUCCAGCAGAAGAUUAAAAGCACAUCCGAACGACACUCUUUCUGUGUAGACGAUGAGCUGGUAUACGAGAACUUCUAUGCGGACUUUGGCCCCCUUAACCUGGCCAUGUUUUAUCGUUUCUGUUGCAAACUCACCAAGAAGCUCAAGUCCAUUACGCUCUGUAGGAAGAAGAUUCUCUUCUAUACCUGUGGAGACCAUAAGAAGCAAGCCAAUGCUGCUUACCUGAUCGGCUCAUAUGCUGUAUUGCAUCUUCACAUGACCCCAGAGGAGGCAUCCAGUUUACUUGUCUCCAAGAAUUCAACAUAUCUUCCAUUUAGAGAUGCCUCAUUUGGAACAUGCUUGUACAAUCUGAGCAUUCUGGACUGCCUUCAUGCCAUCCAGAAGGCAGUGGAGUUUAGCUGGCUUGACUUCACCAACUUUGAUGUGGAGGAGUAUGAACAUUACGAGAGAGCAGAAAAUGGGGACUUUAACUGGAUUAUUCCAGGCAAGUUCCUCGCUUUCAGUGGGCCCCAUCCGAAGAGCAAAAUAGAGAACGGAUACCCGCUCCACGCCCCCGAAGCCUACUUCCCUUACUUCAGGAAGCACAACAUUACCACUAUCGUACGGCUCAACAAGAAGAUGUACGACGCCAGGCGCUUCACCGACUCCGGCUUCGAGCACCACGACCUGUUCUUCGUGGACGGCAGCACGCCCACUGACGCCAUCGUCAGGAAGUUCCUGAACAUCUGUGAGAAUGCAGAAGGCGCCAUAGCUGUCCACUGCAAAGCUGGUCUGGGGCGUACGGGCACUCUGAUCGCCUGCUACAUGAUGAAGCAUUACCAUCUUACAGCAGCGGAGGCCAUCGCCUGGAUACGGAUCUGCCGCCCGGGGUCUGUUAUUGGGCCCCAGCAGAACUAUGUCGAAGAUAAGCAGGCCGGCAUGUGGACAGAAGGGGAUGGCUUCAAGGAGAAGAUGCUGGAUGAGCAGGAGAACGGCAAGAUGGCCGUCACCCGGAUCCUAUCUGGGGUGGAUGACAUCACCAUCAACGGCAGCAACAAUAAGAGAACGCCCAAAAAUGAGCAGAAGAUGGAACUGUAUAACGAUGAGGAGGAGAGGAAUGGUGUGACACAAGGUGACAAACUGCGAGCACUGAAGAGCAAGAGGCAGUCCAGAUCAUCUACUGGUUCACUAUCGCAAGGAGAAAACAAGAUUCACACCAGGUCAUCCUCCCUCUCUCCAAGCCGGUGCAUCCUGCAGUCUAGCAGCUACAAGGCCAGUGUUAACGCCCCUACUCUGGCUAGCCAAUCGGACAGCAGGAAAAGAACCAGAACCUCCCUGCCAGCCAAUGGAGUAGCAAACAGCUCCCUGUGCCACAGCAGACUAGCCAGGUCCCUAGGCAACUUGCAUGUUCAGACUGGCGACAGAGACCUGCUCUGCUUUGAGCCAUGCGGUAAACCUAGAGAAACCAACUGUUCCACGGCCAACAGGGGCACUCUGACCAACCUUAACACGGCAAAGGCCCAUCACAACCAGGCAAGCUCUCCACAGGCCUAUUCAUAAGAGAUCAUGACCCUUUGACUUCAUCUCUUCGCAGCAGAUUACGUUUUUUGGAUGUGCUGGGAUGGAUCGAAUCUCUUUGGAGUUUAUUUUUGAGUUUUUUAACCCUCUGUUUUUAACAGCUAUGGACAGACCACUUUGCGGCCCAAGAGUUCUUGCUUUAACAAAUCUGUCAUAUGUUUGUUUUGUGCAUCCAAGCCUUCUUGGCCUCUGCUUUUUCAUCUCUACACUAAAGACAGUUGGCCAGUCAGGACUACUUGCACUAAUGCUGUCCAUUUUAACUUAAAGCCAGCGGUGAGGAGCCUCGUGUACUUUCCUGUUAUAGGGCUUGUACAUCGCGACAACGACCGCCUCCAUUUUGGAAGCAUAGGAGCAUUAUGUUGCUAGUAAUGUUUUUUGGUCAUUGUUUACUAAUCCUUCCAUUGAUAAAACUGUGAUCAGUCCUCAUAGAAUGUUUUUUAGUUGUAUUAUCUGCUAGAUUGAAUUGAUUGUACGCUCACUAAUUUGUAUUUUAGAUUUGGGUAACACAACUAAAGAAGGGGUUGUAUGGCCUUCAGUAAACUAAAAAAAAAUAGAUUUUGAGCAACAAAACGUAUAUUUUUAAAAAAGCAUACAAAAAAAAUGUUGAGCCUUUUUUUUUAAGUUUUUUGAAAAUCAUGAAUAUAUUUAUCUACAUGGCUCAGAAAUGCAAUUUUAACUAUGUAGCACAAGAACGGUUAAAGGACCACAGAUUUUAUCAUGAGCCACAUGAUGGCCCAGUUGUUGAGCUCGACCUUAGAGGCACUAUCUACAACAUUCCGAACACUAUCAUCCUCCUUACCUGCCGUCCUUUCCUCUGUUCUCAGGACUGUGUUGUGCUUAUCCUGCGCUUUCUUCCCGUGUACUGCUGGCUAUAGCUUCUCUGGACACUAGUACUGCUUUCCUGCUCCCUCUCCUAAUAUGAAAUCCUUCUCUUCCUUUGUUUCCCACUUCUAACAGAUGCACUGUGGACAGAGGAUGUAAAGCUCGCUACUCUAUGCAACCGAUGCGCUUUUCCAGACUCUGUCACUCCGUACCCAAAGCUAGAGCCCCUCUACUGCGAUGAGCCUGGGAUCUGAAUAGCAUGAGGAUUGUGUUUUAAAGACUGACCUUAGCAGUCAAAUCUUUAUUUUUUUUCACUUUUAAAGUACAGUGCAUUUUGUUAUAAAGGAACCAUGCAAAAUGGUCCAGUCUGGCUUCAAUGUUUGUGUGACAUGCUCUCAUGUAAACUAGUUAAAUUGCAAUUCUGUAAAGCACUUGGUUUAUCAUGAAACUUUUUCAUAAAGCAUAAUCAUAGAAUUGUCACCCAUUAAAGCAUGCAUUAGUAUCGUAAGGUUUACCACGCGAGACUGGCAUGUGAAUAUGUCAACCUGGCGUUUACUUUUAAACAAGCAGUAAAAGUAGAUAUUCCAGUUUUGAAGAACAGUAUACCAAUGGCAGUGCAUCCUGCAGAGUUCAUGCACAUACAGGGUGUUUGUAUAAGUCAAGUAUUGUGUGCAUCAGUCAAGUUCAUGUAUUACAGUAAUGUAAAUAAGAAAUCAUUUGAUAUACUGAGAACGUCUAUUUUGUAAAUAUUUUGUACGGUUUGAUUCAUUAGAAGUAGAGGAACCAAGCCCUCAUGGGGUCCAAACAAGUAAUUAUGCUUGGUUAAAACUGGCUUUUUAAAUAAACCCAAUACUCUA
This is an RNA transcript of Gadus macrocephalus (Pacific cod), 3514 nucleotides long. It is a transcript of the gene named cell division cycle 14B, with no coding region annotated. The transcript has 16 exons. Lineage: Eukaryota; Metazoa; Chordata; Actinopteri; Gadiformes; Gadidae. The record is from RefSeq and is a predicted model, not a curated record.